RNAcentral lists this ribosomal RNA (303 nucleotides) under uncultured bacterium. RNAcentral describes it as "bacterial SSU rRNA". It matches the Rfam family "Bacterial small subunit ribosomal RNA", at positions 775 to 1067 of the family's 1533-position model. The record is from RNAcentral.
GGAUUAGAUACCCUGGUAGUCCACGCAGUAAACGUUGUUCACUAGGUGUAGCGGGUAUUGACCCCUGCUGUGCCGCAGCUAACGCAUUAAGUGAACCGCCUGGGGAGUACGGCCGCAAGGCUGAAACUCAAAGGAAUUGACGGGGGCUCACACAAGCGGUGGAGGAUGUGGUUUAAUUCGAAACAACGCGAAGAACCUUACCAGGCCUUGACAUAGACGUAGUACGACACUCGAAAGGUGAAGGAUCUUGGGUUUACCAAGAAGCGUUUACAGGUGCUGCAUGGCUGUCGUCAGCUCGUGCUG